This 301-nucleotide ribosomal RNA is filed under the name uncultured bacterium. RNAcentral's name for it is "partial 16S ribosomal RNA". It matches the Rfam family "Bacterial small subunit ribosomal RNA", at positions 509 to 809 of the family's 1533-position model. The record is from RNAcentral.
CAGUCGCCGCGGGAAUACGAAGGGGGCUAGCGUUGCUCGGAAUUACUGGGCGUAAAGGGCGCGUAGGCGGACAGUUAAGUCGGGGGUGAAAGCCCGGGGCUCAACCUCGGAAUUGCCUUCGAAACUGGCUGUCUUGAGUACGGGAGAGGUGAGUGGAACUCCGAGUGUAGAGGUGAAAUUCGUAGAUAUUCGGAAGAACACCAGUGGCGAAGGCGACUCACUGGCCCGUUACUGACGCUGAGGCGCGAAAGCGUGGGGAGCAAACAGGAUUAGAUACCCCCGUAGUCCCUGUCUCUUAUAA